UAAUGAGAUGAUGUUAAAAAAGGUCAAUUUUUAAUUUUUUUGAUUCCGAUUCUGCCCUUCAAGCCAAUUCACUCUCUAUAUUCUUCUCCUCCUCCACAGAAUCACAGACCUCCUCUCUCGAGUGUCAAUGUCGAAGAACGAUGUGAGCCCCCGAAAAUUUUUGUUUAAGUUUUAGAAGGUAAUUUUCGCCAAUAAGAUUUUUACACAAGGUGAUUUUAGUGAAGGAAUCGAUUUUUGGACAUUUUUAGGUAUCGAGACUACCAAUUGGGCUAUUUGAAUUAAGUUUGGAUCGAAAACUAAAGUUUGGGCCAAUGUCCUUCCAAUUGGGCCUAAAGAAUUACUAAGGUUUAUUGAAGCAAAAGAUUGUCGGGAUUAUUAUGGAAGGAUACAAAUUGAGUUUUUAGUAAUUCGAGUUUUGGGCAUACGACGGAGUCGACUAAGAAAAUUAGUGACGAAAAACGAAUAAAGAAGCGAGCUCAAAACCCGACUCAAUUGUUGGUUGAAUUCGUCGCAGGGGUAUAUUUGUUAUUUCGCAUGUACAAGUAUAAAUAGGAACAAAAACCCUAAAAUCCCAAAACAGUCUCUCCCUCACUCUCAGCCGUUCUCUUCUCUCCCCUAUCCCCGUGUUCUCUCUUCUUCUUCCCUCUGCCACCACCGGAGACCCCAGCUCCGGCCACCACCUCUAGUCACCACCACCACCAAUCAAAACAGGACCCAAUUCCGACCUAAACCCAGCAAGAAUCAUCGGCAUGCGCCGCCUCCAGCUACCGCAUGCAACCACCACAGUUUCCGCCACCAUGCCUAGCCGGAAAGGGUACUUUUGAUCACUUUCUCCACUCACCGCCACCACCACUCGAUCCAGCACCCAAAACCGACCAAACUCGAGCCUCACCUUUCGACAUGCAUCGCCCACAGCCACCGUACACGACCACCAUCGUCGCAACACUACUGCUCCUCCACUUUCUUCAAUUUCCGACCAUACACCACCGUCCGACUCAGUAAACAAGGAAGAGCGAAACCCAUGAGCAUCAUCACCCAUCGAUGCCGGGAGACCGCCGUACCAGCAUUGUCGGAGGCCUCGGCCCUGUAGGCCCUCGUUUUCCGAUCUCCAGCUCGAAUCGAGCUAAGCAACCUCCGUAGCUGGUAUCAAGGCUUCACGGUGCUUCAAAGCCCUAGGACCCCGACCUCCGAUUCCGACUGGAGCAGCCGUACGCGCUGCACGCGCCGCCCCAGGCGCGUGAACCACCGUAGAUCCGUCGCUCACGAUCGCCGGAAAUCGUCAGGACUUCUCGAUUAGGUAAUUUCGCGAUUUCUAUUUAGCUGGAGCUUCUGGUUUCAGUAGAGUGAACCCUAAUAACUUGUUGUUUGAUUUGGAGGAAUUGAGGUCUGCGAGAUUGUAAGGUUUUGGAGAAGAGAAGUGUAGGGUCAGUUUCCAUUGAGAAUGGACUGAGGUGUUUCAAAACGGUUGUCGAUGGUGGAAUGCAGCUACAAUGGAUUGCUAAUUUGGAAAGGAGAAUGGUAAGGUUCUGGAUUUUGGUUUUACCGGUGGUGAAAUUAUCUUGGAUGUAUUCUGCUGUAGUUUGGGUUUGUUGAGAAUGUGCAAAGUUAGUAAAGUGAUGGGUGUUGUGACAAAUGAAAUGUUGUACAAGAAUGUAAUCGGUGCUUUAGCGUUAUGACUUAAGGAUUGAUAAAUGAGAAUGGAAAGAAAGUUGGAUGCUAAA
Rosa rugosa (rugosa rose) is the source of this 1721-nucleotide long non-coding RNA. RefSeq lists it as uncharacterized. Lineage: Eukaryota; Viridiplantae; Streptophyta; Magnoliopsida; Rosales; Rosaceae. The record is from RefSeq and is a predicted model, not a curated record. The transcript has 2 exons.